This 465-nucleotide ribosomal RNA is filed under the name uncultured bacterium. RNAcentral describes it as "partial 16S ribosomal RNA". It matches the Rfam family "Bacterial small subunit ribosomal RNA", at positions 31 to 507 of the family's 1533-position model. The record is from RNAcentral.
GAACGCCGGCGGCGUGCUUAACACAUGCAAGUCGAACGGAAAGGCCCUGCUUUUGUGGGGUGCUCGAGUGGCGAACGGGUGAGUAACACGUGAGUAACCUGCCCUUGACUUUGGGAUAACUUCAGGAAACUGGGGCUAAUACCGGAUAGGAGCUCCUGCUGCAUGGUGGGGGUUGGAAAGUUUCGGCGGUUGGGGAUGGACUCGCGGCUUAUCAGCUUGUUGGUGGGGUAGUGGCUUACCAAGGCUUUGACGGGUAGCCGGCCUGAGAGGGUGACCGGCCACAUUGGGACUGAGAUACGGCCCAGACUCCUACGGGAGGCAGCAGUGGGGAAUAUUGCACAAUGGGCGGAAGCCUGAUGCAGCAACGCCGCGUGCGGGAUGACGGCCUUCGGGUUGUAAACCGCUUUCGCCUGUGACGAAGCGUGAGUGACGGUAAUGGGUAAAGAAGCACCGGCUAACUACGUG